Molecule: long non-coding RNA, 374 nt
Organism: Megalobrama amblycephala (Wuchang bream)
Lineage: Eukaryota; Metazoa; Chordata; Actinopteri; Cypriniformes; Xenocyprididae
Exons: 3
Source: RefSeq, a predicted model, not a curated record
GAUCUGUCUGGCCAUGGAGCAGAAAAGAGUCUGCAGCUCGGCUCCGUUCAGCCCACACAUGUCUCCAAACUCCAAAGGAAGCACUGUGCUCGGGUCCUGGGUCACCUGGAACAUGAUGAAUCACAGGGAUGUAUCCCUCUGUCUCGAUCUCCAUAUUCUCCUGACCCAGCACACCCUCCAUUGCAGUCUGCAGAUAGCGCAGACUCACUAGAAUGGACAUCUGAGGACCAAGGAGAUUUAGAGAAACGGAUGCCAUUCUUCAGCCCAAUCUUCAGAGACUCCUCCAGGCUGGGCUGCAGGGCAAAGCUCAGAAUCAUGGCGACCAGCAGCAAGGAGGAGAAGAAGACAGAAAUGCAGAAGAACGGAGGAAGAAA